This 252-nucleotide ribosomal RNA is filed under the name uncultured bacterium. RNAcentral's name for it is "partial 16S ribosomal RNA". It matches the Rfam family "Bacterial small subunit ribosomal RNA", at positions 527 to 779 of the family's 1533-position model. The record is from RNAcentral.
CGGAGGGGCUAGCGUUGUUCGGAAUUACUGGGCGUAAAGCGCACGUAGGCGGAUCGGAAAGUUGGGGUGAAAUCCCGGGGCUCAACCCCGGAACGGCCUUCAAAACUACUGGUCUUGAGUUCGAGAGAGGUGAGUGGAAUUCCGAGUGUAGAGGUGAAAUUCGUAGAUAUUCGGAGGAACACCAGUGGCUAAGGCGGCUCACUGGCUCGAUACUGGACGCUGAGGUGCGAAAGCGUGGGAGCAAACAGGAUU